Non-coding RNA from Phyllostomus hastatus (greater spear-nosed bat), 454 nucleotides. The record is from the annotation of a RefSeq genome assembly. NCBI's taxonomy places the organism in Eukaryota, Metazoa, Chordata, Mammalia, Chiroptera, Phyllostomidae.
AAAGGAGCCACCAGAGUGUCCAGUGUCAGCUGUGGGGCCAGAGUGUCCUGGACACAUUUGCACCAUGACCGGGACUCCUCUCCUGCUCCUGCUCCUCCUCACCCUCUGCCCAGGGUCCAGCUCUCAGGCUGUGGUGACUCAGGAGCCCUUCCUGACAGUGUCCCCAGGAGGGACAGUCACUCUCACCUGUGGCCACAACACUGGAGCUGUCACCAAUGAGCACUACCCAUCCUGGUUCCAGCAGAAGUCUGGACAAGUCCCCACCACAUUGAUUUAUGACAUAGACAAGAAAAAUGGGUGGACCCCGGCCCGCUUCUCAGGCUCCAUUCUCGGGGGCAAAGGGGCCCUGACCCUGUCGGGGGCCCAGCUGGAGGACGAGGCCGAGUACUACUGCUGGAUGGUGUACAGCGGUGCUCGGCACAGUGACAAGUUCAGACCAGGACCCAGGACGUAA